This 139-nucleotide ribosomal RNA is filed under the name uncultured bacterium. Its description in RNAcentral is "partial 16S ribosomal RNA". It matches the Rfam family "Bacterial small subunit ribosomal RNA", at positions 355 to 509 of the family's 1533-position model. The record is from RNAcentral.
UGGGGAAUAUUGGGCAAUGGGCGAAAGCCUUACCCAGCAACGCCGCGUGAGGGAAGAAGGUUUUCGGAUUGUAAACCUCUGUCCUGGGGACGAAGGAAGUGACGGUACCCCGGGAGGAAGCCCCGGCUAACUACGUGCC